GCAGCUUAAUGGCAGACCACAUGCCUUGCAGGCAUAAGUCCCCAGGUUCAAACCCUGGCAUCUGCU
Non-coding RNA from Podarcis lilfordi (Lilford's wall lizard), 66 nucleotides. Lineage: Eukaryota; Metazoa; Chordata; Lepidosauria; Squamata; Lacertidae. The record is from the annotation of a GenBank genome assembly.